This 350-nucleotide ribosomal RNA is filed under the name Cyclaulax sp. 2. RNAcentral describes it as "eukaryotic LSU rRNA". The record is from RNAcentral. Lineage: Eukaryota; Metazoa; Arthropoda; Insecta; Hymenoptera; Braconidae.
CCUGAGAAACCCAAAAGAUUGAAUAGGGAGAUUCAUCGUCAGCUCAUUUUGUAUAUAUGCAAGUUGUGAUAUGGGUUACUACUUGUAGUAUUGCCUGUACAUUCUUGUAUAUUUAAUUGCAAAGUGUAGUCGGCGUGCACUUCUCCCUUAGUAGAACGUCGCGACCCGUUGAGAGUAAAUAUAAUAUAUUAGUCUACGGCCCAAGUGAUAGCUUUUAGUAAAUAGUUUAUACUAUUAAUUGAAAAUCCUUGGUGUCACCUGGCUAACACUUGGCGGUAUUCGUACGGUAUUAAGUCGCAUAUUUAUAUGCGUCCUGUCCAUCACAAGCGAGGUUAGUUUACUGAUAGUGC